Coregonus clupeaformis (lake whitefish) is the source of this 510-nucleotide long non-coding RNA. RefSeq lists it as uncharacterized. The transcript has 4 exons. The record is from RefSeq and is a predicted model, not a curated record. Lineage: Eukaryota; Metazoa; Chordata; Actinopteri; Salmoniformes; Salmonidae.
CCAUCUUUUAGAAGAAAAAGAGCCAUGAUGGUUUACAGAGACCUGACUAGAGGCGUGAUGGCACGUACACCCCUGCCAUCAACUUGGAUCGGAAGAGCUCAUGACGUCUGGCUGCAGUUUUGCAGCUGUGAGUUGGAACCUGUCACCCUGAUCCGUCACAGACUCUGGCCUGCCACCCCCCCCCCCCAUCUGUCGCAAACAGCAAUUUCAGUGGACCUCCUGCGCCAGUUUGCAGCCCUGCAACUGGAGUGUGGGGUGUCUUUGAGGGGGAUUACCUUUCCAUAAAUCCAAUGCAUGCUGGAAGACAGUUGAGCUCUACCAGAAGCUCACAAAUGAGUCAUUUGAGGAGUUCAAACAUUGACAGUUUGAACGAGAGACUCUCAUGAAGUUUGGCGCCAUUGACCUCGGACGGAACAUAGUGUCCUCUCACUCCACAGGAAAACAGUCAUCAAACUAUUUCAGCUGAUGCCCUAUUUGGGAUUCCCAGAAAAAGAUUGUCUGGGACCAGCA